UACGUAGGGUGCGAGCGUUGCUCGGAAUCACUGGGCGUAAAGGGUGCGUAGGCGGGUCUUUAAGUCAGGGGUGAAAUCCUGGAGCUCAACUCCAGAACUGCCUUUGAUACUGAAGAUCUUGAGUGCGGGAGAGGUGAGUGGAACUGCGAGUGUAGAGGUGAAAUUCGUAGAUAUUCGCAAGAACACCAGUGGCGAAGGCGGCUCACUGGCCCGAUACUGACGCUGAGGCACGAAAGCGUGUGGAGCAAACAGG
RNAcentral lists this ribosomal RNA (253 nucleotides) under uncultured bacterium. RNAcentral's name for it is "partial 16S ribosomal RNA". It matches the Rfam family "Bacterial small subunit ribosomal RNA", at positions 524 to 776 of the family's 1533-position model. The record is from RNAcentral.